Molecule: ribosomal RNA, 470 nt
Filed under: Coniozyma leucospermi
Lineage: Eukaryota; Fungi; Ascomycota; Dothideomycetes; Dothideales; Dothideaceae
Description: eukaryotic LSU rRNA
Rfam family: 5.8S ribosomal RNA (bases 110-263)
Source: RNAcentral
GACGCUGCUGAUAGCGCAUAUAACAUUCCGGAUGAAGAGCGCCCGCCAGAGUCCAACCAAACUCUUGUAUUAAACCAGUCGUCUGAGUAUAAAAUUUUAAUUAAAUUAAAACUUUCAACAACGGAUCUCUUGGUUCUCGCAUCGAUGAAGAACGCAGCGAAAUGCGAUAAGUAAUGUGAAUUGCAGAAUUCAGUGAAUCAUCGAAUCUUUGAACGCACAUUGCGCCCCUUGGUAUUCCGAGGGGCAUGCCUGUUCGAGCGUCAUUACACCACUCAAGCACUGCUUGGUAUUGGGCAUCGUCCGUCGAAAGGCGGGCGUGCCUCGAAGACCUCGGCGGGGUUUCUCCAACUUCGGGCGUAGUAGAGUUAAAUCAAAACGUCUUAUAAGCUUGGUGAGAUCUCAUUGCCGUUAAACCUUUUAUUUUUCAGGUUGACCUCGGAUCAGGUAGGGAUACCCGCUGAACUUAAGCA